This 801-nucleotide ribosomal RNA is filed under the name uncultured Rubrobacter sp. RNAcentral describes it as "bacterial SSU rRNA". It matches the Rfam family "Bacterial small subunit ribosomal RNA", at positions 8 to 796 of the family's 1533-position model. The record is from RNAcentral. Lineage: Bacteria; Bacillati; Actinomycetota; Rubrobacteria; Rubrobacterales; Rubrobacteraceae.
AGAGUUUGAUCAUGGCUCAGGACGAACGCUGACGGUGUGCUUUAGGCAUGCAAGUCGAACGAGAAAGCCCUUCGGGGUUAGUAAAGUGGCGAACGGGUGAGUAACACGUGGGCAACCUGCCCCUCGCAGGGGGACAACCGGAGGAAACUCCGGCUAAUACCCUGUACGCUUGUUGGAUCGCAUGGUCCGGCAAGGAAAGGUAGCUUCGGCCAUCCGGCGAGGGAUGGGCCCGCGUUGCAUUAGCUAGUUGGUGGGGUAACGGCCUACCAAGGCGACGAUGCGUAGCUGGUCUGAGAGGAUGAUCAGCCACACUGGGACUGAGACACGGCCCAGACUCCUACGGGAGGCAGCAGCCAGGAAUCUUGGGCAAUGGGCGAAAGCCUGACCCAGCAACACCGUGUGGGUGAUGAAGGCCUUAGGGUCGUAAAGCCCUGUUGAUAGGGACGAAGGGCGAAGGGUUAAUAGCCCCUAGCUUGACGGUACCUUUCGAGGAAGCCCCGGCUAACUACGUGCCAGCAGCCGCGGUAAUACGUAGGGGGCGAGCGUUGUCCGGAAUUAUUGGGCGUAAAGAGCGUGUAGGCGGUUCGGUAAGUCUGCUGUGAAAUCCUGGGGCUCAACCCUGGGCGUGCAGCGGAUACUGCCGGGCUAGAGGGUGGUAGAGGCGAGUGGAAUUCCGAGUGUAGCGGUGAAAUGCGCAGAUAUUCGGAGGAACACCAGUAGCGAAGGCGGCUCGCUGGGCCACACCUGACGCUGAGACGCGAAAGCGUGGGGAGCGAACAGGAUUAGAUACCCUCGUAGUCC